GAUGAACGCUGGCGGCGUGCCUAAUACAUGCAAGUCGAGCGAACAGACGAGGAGCUUGCUCCUCUGACGUUAGCGGCGGACGGGUGAGUAACACGUGGAUAACCUACCUAUAAGACUGGGAUAACUUCGGGAAACCGGAGCUAAUACCGGAUAACAUGUUGAACCGCAUGGUUCAACAGUGAAAGACGGUCUUGCUGUCACUUAUAGAUGGAUCCGCGCCGCAUUAGCUAGUUGGUAAGGUAACGGCUUACCAAGGCAACGAUGCGUAGCCGACCUGAGAGGGUGAUCGGCCACACUGGAACUAAGACACGGUCCAGACUCCUACGGGAGGCAGCAGUAGGGAAUCUUCCGCAAUGGGCGAAAGCCUGACGGAGCAACGCCGCGUGAGUGAAGAAGGUCUUCGGAUCGUAAAACUCUGUUAUUAGGGAAGAACAAAUGUGUAAGUAACUAUGCACGUCUUGACGGUACCUAAUCAGAAAGCCACGGCUAACUACGUG
RNAcentral lists this ribosomal RNA (497 nucleotides) under uncultured bacterium. Its description in RNAcentral is "partial 16S ribosomal RNA". It matches the Rfam family "Bacterial small subunit ribosomal RNA", at positions 28 to 507 of the family's 1533-position model. The record is from RNAcentral.